GAUGAACGCUGGCGGCGUGCCUAAUACAUGCAAGUCGAGCGAACAGACGAGGAGCUUGCUCCUCUGACGUUAGCGGCGGACGGGUGAGUAACACGUGGAUAACCUACCUAUAAGACUGGGAUAACUUCGGGAAACCGGAGCUAAUACCGGAUAAUAUAUUAAACCGCAUGGUUCAAUAGUAAAAGACGUUUUUGCGUUCACUUAUAGAUGAAUCCGCGCCGCAUUAGCUAGUUGUUAAGGUAACGGCUUACCAAGGCAACGAUGCGUAGCCGACCUGAGAGGGUGAUCGGCCACACUGGAACUGAGACACGGGCCAGACUCCUAAGGGAGGCAGCAGUGGGGAAUCUUCCGCAAUGGGCGAAAGCUUGACGGAGCAACGCCGCGGGAGUGAUGAAGGUCUUCGGAUCGAAAAACUUUGUUAUGAGGGAAGAACAAAUGUGUAAGUAACUGUGCACGUCUUGACGGUACCUAAUAAGAAAGCCACGGCUAACUACGUG
RNAcentral lists this ribosomal RNA (497 nucleotides) under uncultured bacterium. RNAcentral describes it as "partial 16S ribosomal RNA". It matches the Rfam family "Bacterial small subunit ribosomal RNA", at positions 28 to 507 of the family's 1533-position model. The record is from RNAcentral.